RNAcentral lists this ribosomal RNA (901 nucleotides) under uncultured archaeon. RNAcentral describes it as "bacterial SSU rRNA". It matches the Rfam family "Archaeal small subunit ribosomal RNA", at positions 455 to 1354 of the family's 1478-position model. The record is from RNAcentral.
GUGUCAGCAGCCGCGGUAAAACCAGCACCUCAAGUGGUCAGGAGGAUUAUUGGGCCUAAAGCAUCCGUAGCCUGCUCUGUAAGUUUUCGGUUAAAUCCAUCAGCUUAACUGAUGGGCCGCCGAAAAAACUGCAAAGCUAGGGAGUGGGAGAGGUAGACGGUACUCGAUAGGAAGGGGUAAAAUCCUUUGAUCUAUUGAUGACCCCCUGUGGCGAAGGCGGUCUACCAGAACACGUUCGACGGUGAGGGAUGAAAGCUGGGGGAGCAAACCGGAUUAGAUACCCGGGUAGUCCCAGCUGUAAACGAUGCAGACUCGGUGAUGCGCUGGCUUGUGGCCAGUGCAGUGCCGCAGGGAAGCCGUUAAGUUUGCCGCCUGGGAAGUACGUACGCAAGUAUGAAACUUAAAGGAAUUGGCGGGGGAGCACCACAAGGGGUGAAGCCUGCGGUUCAAUUGGAGUCAACGCCAGAAAUCUUACCCGAGGAGACAGCAGAAUGAAGGUCAAGCUGGAGACUUUACCAGACAAGCUGAGAAGUGGUGCAUGGCCGUCGCCAGCUCGUGCCGUGAGAUGUCCUGUUAAGUCAGGUAACGAGCGAGAUCCCUGCCUCUAGUUGCCACCAUUACUCUCAGGAGUAGUGGGGCGAAUUAGAGGGACCGCCACAGUUAAUGUGGAGGAAGGAAGGGGCCACGGCAGGUCAGUAUGCCCUGAAACCUUGGGGCCACACGCGGGCUGCAAUGGUAGUGACAAUGAGUUUCCUAAUCCGAAAGGAGGAGGCAAUCUUCAAACGCUACCACAGUUAUGAUUGAGGGCUGCAACUCGCCCUCAUGAAUAUGGAAUCCCUAGUAACCGCGUGUCAUUACCGCGCAGUGAAUACGUCCCUGCUCCUUGCACACACCGCCCGUC